GAUGAACGCUGGCGGCGUGCCUAAUACAUGCAAGUCGAGCGAACAGACGAGGAGCUUGCUCCUCUGACGUUAGCGGCGGACGGGUGAGUAACACGUGGAUAACCUACCUAUAAGACUGGGAUAACUUCGGGAAACCGGAGCUAAUACCGGAUAAUAUAUUGAACCGCAUGGUUCAAUAGUGAAAGACGGUUUUGCUGUCACUUAUAGAUGGAUCCGCGCCGCAUUAGCUAGUUGGUAAGGUAACGGCUUACCAAGGCAACGAUGCGUAGCCGACCUGAGAGGGUGAUCGGCCACACUGGAACUGAGACACGGUCCAGACUCCUACGGGAGGCAGCAGUAGGGAAUCGUCCGCAAUGGGCGAAAGCCUGACGGAGCAACGCCGCGUGAGUGAUGAAGGUCUUCGGAUCGUAAAACUCUGUUAUUAGGGAAGAACAAAUGUGUAAGUAACUAUGCACGUCUUGAGGGUACCUAAUCAGAAAGCCACGGCUAACUACGUG
Molecule: ribosomal RNA, 497 nt
Filed under: uncultured bacterium
Lineage: Bacteria
Description: partial 16S ribosomal RNA
Rfam family: Bacterial small subunit ribosomal RNA
Source: RNAcentral